This 428-nucleotide ribosomal RNA is filed under the name uncultured bacterium. RNAcentral's name for it is "bacterial SSU rRNA". It matches the Rfam family "Bacterial small subunit ribosomal RNA", at positions 354 to 796 of the family's 1533-position model. The record is from RNAcentral.
GUAGGGAAUAUUGCACAAUGGAGGAAACUCUGAUGCAGCGACGCCGCGUGAGUGAUGAAGGACUUCGGUUUGUAAAGCUCUGUUGUUAGGGAAUAAAAAAAUGAAUGUACCUGACGAGAAAGGACCGGCUAACUUCGUGCCAGCAGCCGCGGUAAUACGAAGGGUCCAAGCGUUGUUCGGAAUCAUUGGGCGUAAAGCGAGUGCGGGUGGCUUCUUAAGUCAGGAGUGAAAGCCCAGAGCUUAACUCUGGAAGUGCUUUUGAUACUGGGAAGCUUGAAUGUGGUAGAGGAUGCUAGAAUACCUAAUGUAGUGGUGAAAUACGUAGAUAUUAGGUGGAACACCGGUGGCGAAGGCGGGCAUCUGGACCAACAUUGACACUUAGACUCGAAAGCGUGGGGAUCAAACAGGAUUAGAAACCCCAGUAGUCC